CAUAGAAUUUGAAGCAGAUUCCAGGCUCUGAGCUGUCAGCACAGAGCUCUACGCAGGGCUCGAAUCCAUGAACUGUGAGAUCAUGUCCUGAGCUGACUAAGCCACCCAGGCGCCCCACAUACUACUUUUCGAGAAAACUUUGAGAGAACCUGAUUUUAGACAUUUUUAAAGUGAAAUGCACAUACCAAGACUGCUGUCGGAAUCAAAUAAAAACCUGGAAUCCAGGCCUUAAAUAUCAGGGCAGCAUGUUUGUGUAACUAACAGGGCUGCUGUUGAAGUUUUAGAAAGUGGGAAGUAGUGACUGCAAAGACCUGAGAGGUGGAAGUCCUUUUCUGUUUUUUUUUUUUUUAAUUAAUUAAUUUUAUUUUUUAAAUUUGCAUCCAAGUUAUUUAGCAUAUAGUAUAAUAGUGAUUUCAGGAGUAGAAUCCAGUGAUUCAUCCCCUACAUAUAACAUCCAGUGCUCAUCUCAACAAGUGUCCUUCUUACUGCCCCUUGCCCAUUUAGCCCAUCCCCCCUCCCACAACCCCUCCAGCAACCUUCAGUUCUCUAUAUUUAAGAUUCUCUUAUGUUUGUCCCCCUCCAUAUUUUUAUAUUAUUUUUGCUUCCCUUCCCUUAUAUUCGUCUGUUUUGUAUCUUAAAUUCCACAUAUGAUUGAAGUCGUAUAUUUGUCUUUCUCUAAUUGCAUUUAGCAUAAUACACUAGUUCCAUCCAUGUUGUUGCAAAUGACAAGAUUUCAUUCUUUUUGAUUGCUGAGUAAUACUCCAUUGUAUCUCUCUCUCUCUCUCUCUCUUUCUCUUUCUCUCUACACACACGCACGCAUACACACACCACAUUUUCUUUAUCCAUUCAUCUGUCAAUGGACAUUUGGGCUCUUUCCAUACUUUGGCUAUUGCCAAUAAUGCUGCUAUAAACAUUGGGGUGAAUGUGCCUCUUCAAAACAGCAUACCUGUAUCCUUUGGAUAAGUACCUAGUAGUGCAUUUGCUGGGUCAUAAGGUAGUUGUAUUUUUAAUUUUUUGAGGAAUCUCCAUAGUGUUUUCCAGAGUGGCUGCGCCAGUUUGCAUUCCCACCAACAGUGCAAAAGGAUUCUUUCACUGCGUCCUUGCCAACAUCUAUUGUUGCCUGAGUUGUUAAUGUUAGCCAUUCUGACAGGUGUAAGGUGGUAUCUCAUUGUGGUUUUGAUUCGUACUUCCCUGAUGACGAGUGAUGUUGAGCAUUUUUUCAUGGGUCUAUUGGCCACCUGGAUGUCCUUUUUGGAAAAGUGUCUAUUGAUGUCUUUUGCCUGUUUCUUCACUGGAUUAUUUGUUUUUUGGGUGUUGAGUUUGAUAAGUUCUUUAUAAGAUUUCAGAUACUAACCCUUUAUCUAAUAUGUCAUUUACAAGUAUCUUUUCCCAUUCUGUCGGUUGACUUUUAGUUUUGCUGAUUGUUUCCUUCACCAUGCAGAAGGUUUUUAUCUUGAAGAGAUUCCAAUAGUUCGUUUUUGCUUUUGUUUCCCUUGCUUCUGGAGACAUGUUGAAUAAGAAGUUGUUGCAGCCAAGGUCAAAGAGGUGUUGUUGUUUUUUUAAAUUUUUUUUUAAUGUUUUGUUUAUUUUUGAGACAGAGACAGAGCAUAAGCAGGGGAGGAGCAGAGAGAGAGGGAGACACAGAAUCCGAAGCAGGCUUCAGGCUCUGAGCUGUCAGCACAGAGCCUGACACGGGGCUCGAACUCGCAAACCGCAAGAUCAUGACCUGAGCCGAAGUCGGACGCUUAACCGACUGAGCCACCCAAGUGCCCCAGUCAAAGAGGUUUUUGCCUGCUUUCUCCUCUAGGAUUUUGAUGGCUUCCUGUCUUACAUUUAGGUCUUUCAUCCAUUUUGAGUUUAUUUUUGUGUAUCAUGUAAGAAACUGGUCCACGUUCAUUUUUCUGCAUGUUGCUGUCCAGUUUUCCCAACACCAUUUGCUGGAGAGACUGUCUUUAUUCCAUUGGAUAUUCUUUCCUGCUUUGUCAAAGAUUAGUUGGUCAUAUGUUUGUUGGUCCAUUUCUGCAUUCUGUAUUCUGUUCCAUUGAUCUAAGUGUCUGUUUCUGUGCCAGUGCCAUACUGUCUUCAUGAUUACAGCUUUGUGAUACAUCUUGAAGUCCAGAAUUGUGAUGCCUCCAUCUUUGUUUUUCAUUUUUAGGAUUGCUUUGGCUAUUUGGGGUCUUUUCUGGUUCCAUACACAUUUUAGGAUUGUUUGCUCUAGCUCUGUGCAGAAUGCUGGUGUUAUUUUGAUACAGAUUGCAUUGAAUAUGUAGAUUGCUUUGGAUAGUAUCAACAUUUUAACAAUAUUCUUCCAAUCCAUGAGCAUGAAAUAUUUUUCCAUUUUUUUGUGUGUGUGUCUUCUUCAAUUUCUUUUCUAAGCUUUCUAUAGUUUUCAGUGUAUAGAUUUUUCACCUCUUUGGUUAAGUUUAGAGAGGUAGGUGUCUUAAAUAUUUAGGAAAAGGAAAGCCCAGUGAGAUAGGUGCAGGAUCUGUAUUGACUGUAGGCCACCAGAUGGAAUUUCUUUUAAAAUUCUGUUUUCCCCACUAGUGGCUACAGUUUUGUAAGAAUAAAUGACCAUUAGUGGUUAUUGCGUUUUUUUGUUUUCAGUGGAACAGCUUAAUGGUUUUUAGUUACAUAAGAGCCCUACUCCUUUUCCCUGCUGAUGUCCCGAGUUAUCCUUCUCUUUGUGUGCAUACUAAGUGAACAUUUCCAGAUUGCCUUGAUGACUCAGCCCCUUGACCAGCUUCCCAGCUGUACUUGUUCCCUAAUACACACUUCUCCACGUUACAGGAUUACAGAGCUUUGCCCAUUGAAUAGGAUUUAGAACAAGAAUGACAAAUUGUCACCUGGUGGGCAGCACUGAUUAUAAUUUUAUUGGCAUCACAGAGAAUAAGUGCAUGACAUGUACAUUGUCCUUUUGUGUUGCUAAGAACUUUCCUGCCUAAUGUAAAAGGCAUUUAACAAAGGACAUGUAAAAUUAUUUGCCAUAUGUAUGUUGGAUGUGAAGUAAUGAACUUGUCAUUAGUUGUGUUUUGGUUUAGUGUUCUUCCUGGAAUUCAUGAAAGAUGAAAAUUCUGCAUACCUCAUUGAUAAUCUUCCACAUGGGCUGAGUACCACCCCAUGUGCUCAGUUGGAUUUGCCAUGUUGCUUUAACCUCAUCUUCAAUUCCAGUGAACAACAUCAAGUCAUUGUGACUUACAGCAGACCUGACAAAUGCUAAAGGAGUAAGCCUACUGCUGUGGUUCUGUAAUGACCCUGAUAAUGAUAGCCUUGCCCAUGCAGACAUGUGUUCUUUCCCCUCCUUCUCUAGGUACCUACUCCUGAGGAAAGAAUAUAAUUUCUCUCUCUGCUAACAUCUGUCAUCUCUACUCUUGAAUUAUUUUGCCUUGAAAAAUUGAAUCAAGUUAUUUAUCAUCUAAAUGGAAAGUUUGAUCGCUUACUGCUUAGGUCUAGAUAGUUUGAAUUACCUGUAUUAUCACAUUUCUUAGAUACAUCUCAGAAUGCUAUAAUUUUUACAUAAAAGCAUAAAUUAUAGGAUGAGGAGGCCAAUCUUAAUAUAUAUUAUGAAGGUUCUUAGAGUAAUAUGGCCUAUGACUGUCAUUGUAACCCAAAUAGAUUUUUGACUGUUUAUAAAACUGAAACAACUAAUCGAAAGCAAAUUCACUUUAAUUGAUGAGAUUCAAGAUGGAAUUAUGGCGGUCACGAAUCACAAUAAUGUAGAUCUGCUAAAAUGUCAAUAUGAUGACACUCAAUUAUUAAUGGCAUAAGUAUCUAAUGUAUUAAUGGGAAUCCAAGUAAGAGAAACAAAACACGUAUUUUGAUCUUACCUUAA
Long non-coding RNA from Neofelis nebulosa (Clouded leopard), 3829 nucleotides. RefSeq lists it as uncharacterized. The transcript has 2 exons. Lineage: Eukaryota; Metazoa; Chordata; Mammalia; Carnivora; Felidae. The record is from RefSeq and is a predicted model, not a curated record.